Molecule: ribosomal RNA, 494 nt
Filed under: uncultured bacterium
Lineage: Bacteria
Description: bacterial SSU rRNA
Rfam family: Bacterial small subunit ribosomal RNA
Source: RNAcentral
GAUCAUGGCUCAGAUUGAACGCUGGCGGUAUGCUUAACACAUGCAAGUCGAACGGUAACAGGCCUUCGGGCGCUGACGAGUGGCGGACGGGUGAGUAACGCGUAGGAAUCUGCCUCAUAGUGGGGGACAACGUGGGGAAACUCACGCUAAUACCGCAUACGCCCUACGGGGGAAAGCGGGGGAUCUUCGGACCUCGCGCUAUGAGAUGAGCCUGCGUUAGAUUAGCUAGUUGGUAGGGUAAAGGCCUACCAAGGCGACGAUCUAUAGCUGGUCUGAGAGGACGAUCAGCCACACUGGGACUGAGACACGGCCCAGACUCCUACGGGAGGCAGCAGUGGGGAAUAUUGGACAAUGGGCGCAAGCCUGAUCCAGCAAUACCGCGUGUGUGAAGAAGGCCUUAGGGUUGUAAAGCACUUUCAAUUGGGAGGAAAACCUGCCGGUCAAUACCCGGUAGCUUGACAUUACCUUUAGAAGAAGCACCGGCUAACUCCGUG